Molecule: ribosomal RNA, 1238 nt
Filed under: metagenome
Description: bacterial LSU rRNA
Rfam family: Bacterial large subunit ribosomal RNA
Source: RNAcentral
CUAAGCAUCAGGUGUCCAACAACCGUACCCCAAACCGACACAGGUGGGCUGGGAGAGUAUCCUCAGUCGCUGGAGAGAACUCGGGUGAAGGAACUCGGCAAACUAGCACCGUAACUUCGGGAGAAGGUGCGCCCGCGUCAGGUGAAGGCCCUCGCGGCCGGAGCCGAGGCGGGCCGCAGUGACCAGGUGGCUGCGACUGUUUACUAAAAACACAGCACUCUGCCAACACGAAAGUGGACGUAUAGGGUGUGACGCCUGCCCGGUGCCGGAAGGUUAAGUGAUGGGGUUAGCGCAAGCGACGCUCUUGAUCGAAGCCCCGGUAAACGGCGGCCGUAACUAUAACGGUCCUAAGGUAGCGAAAUUCCUUGUCGGGUAAGUUCCGACCUGCACGAAUGGCGUAACGAUAGCCACACUGUCUCCACCCGGGACUCCGUGAAAUUGAAUUCGCUGUGAAGAUGCAGCGUACCCGCGGCAAGACGGAAAGACCCCGUGAACCUUUACUACAGCUUUGCACUGGACUUUGAGCCUUCUUGUGUAGGAUAGGUGGGAGGCAGCGAAGCCGGGACGCCAGUUCCGGUGGAGCCACCCUUGAAAUACCACCCUGGAAUGCUCGAGGUUCUAACCUCGGAUCCUGAUCGGGUUCAGGGACCGUGCAUGGUGGGUAGUUUGACUGGGGCGGUCUCCUCCCAAAGCGUAACGGAGGAGCGCGACGGUACCCUCAGCGCGGUCGGAAAUCGCGCACGGCGUGCAAAGGCCAAAGGGUGCUUGACUGCGAGACGGACAGGUCGAGCAGGUGCGAAAGCAGGUCUUAGUGAUCCGGUGGUUCUGUAUGGAAAGGCCAUCGCUCAACGGAUAAAGGGUACUCCGGGGAUAACAGGCUGAUACCGCCCAAGAGUCCCUAUCGACGGCGGUGUUUGGCACCUCGAUGUCGGCUCAUCACAUCCUGGGGCUGUAGUCGGUCCCAAGGGUAUGGCUGUUCGCCAUUUAAAGUGGUACGCGAGCUGGGUUUAGAACGUCGUGAGACAGUUCGGUCCCUAUCUGCCGUGGGCGUUGGAGCGUUGCGGGGCGCUGUUCCUAGUACGAGAGGACCGGAAUGGACGGACCCCUGGUGUACCGGUUGUCCUGCCAAGGGCACGGCCGGGUAGCUAUGUCCGGAGGAGAUAACCGCUGAAAGCAUCUAAGCGGGAAGCCCUCCCCAAGAUGAACGCUCCCGAGUCCUUGAGACUCCUGAAGGUCCG